UGUUAUAUUUAACAAAAUAUAAAGAACUGACACUUAAAAUUAACUAAAUGGGAGUCAGACUAAUGAAAACAAAUUUUAGAGAAAAUGUUUCACUAAAUCUAGGAAACCAAACUGCAUCAAAAUCCUGCCUUAUGUGAUGGUAAAGACUCUCUAAAAUUUAUUAAAUCCUUAUAUUUUUAGAUUUCACAAUUUAUAUUUUAAAGUCACUACACUAGUCUGAGCAAUCUCUAUUGUCAGAUCAUAAAACAAAUCCUUAAGCCUACCAUAAAACCCCCCCCUCACCUCUCGGAGGGACCGACUUUAUGGCAGGAAAGAGAGCCAAUAAAACAUAUACUAGUGUUUUGUAAAGAGGCUUCACAUGUCAGUUAUUUGAAUCUAAGGGGGGGGGUAGAAGUCACAGCACAGCUCUGGGGCUCCCCUGGUGAGCUGCUGUGAAUGGGGGUUGUAACUCCUCCCUGGGCUUAAGUAUUCUCAUGUCUAAACAGACAUACUUGUCGCUUUUUCCUGUUUUGUUCUAUUUAUUUAUUUUUCUUUAUUUCCUUAUUUCAUUUGCAGCCCUCUCUUCUUUCUGUAGGCACUUUUGAAAUGAAAUGACCUUUUUGCAAUGUAUUUAAAGUUCUUGAAAAAGAAAUAAAUCCAUAAAUAGUGUAAUGUUGAUGUAUCUGUCCUACCAUCCCCCCUGUUGAGACAUGCGAAACGCCAUGACUCAAUAUUGCAGCCCACCUAUACAAGUUUCUUUUGCAAGAUAGGCUUGUUUGCAGGUCACUUAUAGAUUUGAACUUCUAUUUUUUGCUCCAUUUUUAGUCCAAAGAUCCUUUUCAAUUUCAGGACUUAAUUGUUGCAUGACUCUUAGGAUCUCUUGUCAUAAGUUUGAUUUUUUUUCCAUAUAUAAGACCUUUAUUUGUCCCUCCGCUGCUUUUUUUUUUUCCAUCUCAUCAGCGAAGGCGUUCCCUAGAGACACUUUAUCUUUCCCUGUGGUGUGUGCGGCACAUUUACAGAUUGCUAGUUGUUUUGGUAGCUGCACAGCUUGUAGGAAAUCUUUUAAUAGGUCUGCAUGAGUUGCGAUAAUAAUGUGCUCAUACAGGAGAGAUGUCUUGCAGGCGAUAAAAAGUCAUAUUUGUUUGUAAUAAUAGUGCUGAAACUGCAUGCGGCACUUUUAAUAUUAACGGAUGAAACAGUACAAUAGGAGCACUAACUUCUUCUGCCAUAGAAGCAGCAAUCACAGCUCUCACACAGGGAGGCUGGGCGCACGCCACACUAUUAAGUUUGGAAGAAAAAUAUGCUAUUGGUCUCAUUUUAUCACCAUGUUGUUGAACUAGUACCGAGGUCAUAAACUGACCUUUGCAAUCCACCAUCUGGAAAAAAGGUUUUUUAUAGUCUGGUAAGGCAAGCGCAGCAAUUGACACGAGGGCCUGUUUUAUUUCACAUAGUGCUUUUUCUGCUUCCUCUGUCCAUUCCAAAGAGGAAGAUCUUUUUUAGAUCUUUUUCAUACAUUAGUUUGCUUAAAGGAGCCACAAUUUCUGCAUAAUUAGGCACCCAGUUUCGACAAUAGUUAAUUAACCCAGUGGAAGCACUAGUUUCUAUGUUUGAGGAAGUAGUUACCCAAUCGGUAGCUGCUUCUCCUUCCUCAACAAGAUUACCUAAUUGAUUCCACUGCUCAUUUCUUUGUUUAAACAGAGAUACAUGCGGGGAGGUCCACGUUCUGUCUAAAGAUUUUAAAUCAUCAGGAAGAGCAACAGCUGCAACGGCUGUGUGUUUUGUAUCUGCAUACAGAUAGGUCACUGUGAUUUUAGCUGGAGUGACCUUGUUGAGCCUGUCUUCCUAAUUCUUGUCAGGUCCAGCCGCAUACUUGAACCAAAGAGUUAUGUGUAAAUUGUCAGGAGGCAUUUGAUCCUGUGGGGCAGAGAUGGCUUUACCCCCAUCUGUCAGGAGUGCCUGAGCAAAGUUAUGUGGGGGUCUGUCGGGCACAUCUAAUGUAUAACAAUAGUGUGGAUUUCCAUUUCCCUUAACAACAAAGAAAUCUCCCUUUUUUAUUUCUGACUGCCUUUUAACUGCUAUGUGCCCAUCAGUGGUUGGAAUCAAAGCUAAUCCUAGCUGUAUAAGGCCAUCUCUGCCUAAUAAGUUUACUGGGCAUUCUGGGAGCAUCAAAAUGGACAACUGACAAGCUUGUCCCAGUGGAUCUCUAAACCAGACUGGCUCUGAUUCAUUGACUUGCGUUAAUUUACCCCCAGCUGACCUUACGACAGUUUCCCCACUAAUCUUUACCCCAGAAAUGUUUUCCCUGCAUGUUGUUAAACUUUCUAAUUCUAGUCAUGCUGACUGAUCUAUGUAUUUUUUCUGGGCAAUGUCUGGCUAUGUGUCCUACUUCCCCACAACACCAACAUCCUAAGUUAUUUUUUCUGUAAUUUCCCCUUCCCAUUCUCCCCUGCUGUCCUCUGAGGUUCUGAGGUCUACCCCUAAACUUUCCUCUUCCUCUCCUUUCUUGAUAAAAUAUUUGCUCCUCAUCUUGGAAAAAGGCUCCUGAAACCUUUUUCUUUUCUUUUGAGACCUCUUCUGCGCGUAUAGCGUGGUUAAUGUAUUCAUCUAAAAUCCCAGUCCUCAAUCCUAUGUAAUGUUGAUGCAUUCUCAGGCUGUAUUCAUCAAACGACUCUUCCUCCUCUUCUCUUUUUUGUGCUAAUUCUAACCAAAAUUGUACAUCCUCAUACCCUUCUUUGUGCAUUUUCUUUGGAUUUGACUUUGUUUUUUGUUUUAUUUUAUCCUGCAGUACUGUUAGUUUUUUUGAGUUUAGACGGCCGUCAAAGUUAUAGUUUGUUAUCCAUUUAUCUAAAUGUUUUAUUUUAUGCGGAUCCUGAUUUUCAAUAUUUCCAGUCAUUUGUUUUUAAACUGUCUCUUGGCUUAUUCUUACUUAUAUUUUUUCCCAUUUUUUUUAAUAUAAUUUGGCCCAGUUUUUUCGACUCCUAGGGAAUCCUAUAAACUGGAGAUCUUUUCAGUAGGCCAGCAAUUAAAAUACCUGUAUUGGUAACCCCCGCUUCAACUCUUUCGAGUGGGGGGUUCUUACCUGUGCAUCCAAAACAGGUUUGCUGGUUACAAUCCUACUGUUUUAUAUGAGAUAAAACACCAAAUGGUAUUUAUAUCUCCAAUCACACUCUCACGUUUUGUUGCGGAAUUUAAGCGCCUGCUCCGCCGGACUCUAUCGUCCUUUCCAAUUACAAAUUUAGUGCCUGAUUUGAAUAUCGUUUUUUAUUGUUGCCAUUUUUAUAUAUAUCGAAUUGAGGAAAUUUUAUUAUUGUUUUUAUUUUAUCAUUAUUAUUAUUAUUUUCCUAAUUUAUUAAAUUUUAUAAUUUUUAUUUUUAUCGCCUAAAAAUUUUUUUUUUAUUUUUAUUUUUUUUUAUCGCCUAAUUGAUUAAAUUUUACAGCAGGUCUGCACCAGGCUCCGUCCACCUGUUUCCACGAAAUUUUGCGCAAGGACUUCGGACGCCCUUAACGGAUUUUGUGCUCUAUUUGUUACCUGUUAGAGUCUAGAAUUUACAGGGUUUUCUAUUCGCGCAAUGACCCCCAGUCAUUCGCCACACUUUUAAACAAGAAUCCACUCAUCCUCUGUCUUCCCCUCGGAGUCGUCAACCGUCAGAUUCCAACAGGUAGGCCGACACCAGCCCUUCAACAGGUUUUGAGAAGUUUCCAGUAAGAAAACUUGCCGUGCGCACGCACGGACUGUACUGGGAUCCACCACACCUGCCGGAAUCUGUUCGGUAUAUUGACUUCCGGCUGCGAAGGACCAAAUAAUGUCAGGUCUAAAUACCUAUUAAAGACACAUUAAACAAACAUAGGAAAGACAAGAGAGUUAGAUUCUUUGUUCUCGCGAGGAGAGCAGACAGAGAUGUGCUUUCAGUUACAAAUCUCCAACCGCUCUGAAAACACAUCUCUCGCUCCUCUGUUUUUAUUGAAUUUAGGAACCCUCUCAUACUGGGCGCUGCAACUCUCACAGGGCGGGGAAAACAAUUCAUCACAUAGUUGCAGCGCUAAUGACAUUCACUAUCUAGACACAUGUUAUCUACACUCUAGAUCCUUCUGCUCCAAGCACGGCGUCGAGUACCAGGCACGUUGUAUAUCUUCAAAGUAACGAAGAACAAAGCACAGUUUAUUGCAGGACUGUUAAACUCUGCUGGGAGCAACUAACACCUCUAUCUCCCAAGGAGUCCUCCAGGGUAACAAAUGCUUAGAAUAGCUAUCACCUCUCUCUCCCAAGGAGGCCUUAGGAAGGAAUCAAAGUUAUUUAACACAAAGAAACAUUACUAAUAAUAGGAGAAAAAG
This is a long non-coding RNA of Xiphophorus hellerii (green swordtail), 4311 nucleotides long. RefSeq lists it as uncharacterized. The transcript has 2 exons. Lineage: Eukaryota; Metazoa; Chordata; Actinopteri; Cyprinodontiformes; Poeciliidae. The record is from RefSeq and is a predicted model, not a curated record.